GGUAUCGGUGCCAGCUACCCGUAAUUUCUCGGACAGUUAGUGUGCCGAUUCGCACUGUCAAGAAAUAACGGGUUCCUGGCUAAGAUAACCA
Non-coding RNA from Pristionchus pacificus, 91 nucleotides. Lineage: Eukaryota; Metazoa; Nematoda; Chromadorea; Rhabditida; Neodiplogasteridae. The record is from Rfam.